RNAcentral lists this long non-coding RNA (7516 nucleotides) under Pelobates cultripes (western spadefoot toad). The record is from RNAcentral. Lineage: Eukaryota; Metazoa; Chordata; Amphibia; Anura; Pelobatidae.
ACAGGCUGCACCUUUACUGCUUCAGAGUGUUUGCUGUGUGUAACUGCAAGAUGAUUAAGAGGUACAGGAGUAGUUUGGUUGAAGAUAUUUCUGCAGAUAGGAAUUGUAAAUAUUCACAUACAUUUCUCCAACAUCCAACAAAUAUAAUGGAUGCUAAGUAGGUGCAAGAUGAAAGGGGUUGUGGUGGAUGAAGGGGGAUAAGGGUUGAAGUGGGUGCAAUCUGAUAGAGGUUGUAGUGAGUGCAGAGAGUAAUAGAGGCUGUAGUCAGUGUGUUUAGACAUUUUAGCGAGUGCAGGCAUAUUUAGUGGGUGUAGAGGGGAUAGGAGCUGUAGUGGGUGUAGGGGAGGCAUAGGAGCUGUAAUGGGUGCAAGGAAAACAGAGGCUGUAGUGGGUGCAGGUGGAUAGAGGCUCUAGUGGGAGCAGGCUGUAUUUAGUUGGUGCAGGGGCAUAGGGGCUCUAGUGGUUGUAGAGGAAGGAUAGGGGCUGUAGUUGGUACCAGAAGGAUAGGGGCUGUAGUGGGUGCAGGGGUGAUAGGGUCUAUAGGGGAUAAUAGUCAGUAUAUGGGCUAUAGGGGAUAAUAGGGGCUGUAGUUGUGGCAGGGGGUAAUAGUGACUGUAGUGGAUGCAGUGGGUAAUAGGGGUUGUAGUGGGUACAGGGGUUAUAGUGGCUGUAGUUGGUACAGGGAUAAUAGGGGCUAAUGUGGGUGCAAGGGGUAAAAAGGUUUUUAGUGGAUACAGGGGGCAUAGGGGCUGUUGUGAGUACAGGGGUAAUAGGGACUUUAGUGGGUGCAGUGGGGAUAGCAACUGUAGUUGGUGCUGGGGAGGGUUAGAGGUUGUAGUGGGAGCAGGGGUAACAGAGACUGUAGUGUAUGCAGGGUGUAUUAGGGGCUUUAGUGGGUGGAGGGUGAACGGAGCUUUAAUGGCUGCAGCGUAUAAAGGCUGUAGUGGGUAUAACAGCUGUAGUGGGUAUAGAGGCUGUAGUGAGUGUAGGGGGUAAUAAGGGCUGUAGUGAGUGCAGUCAUGAAAGGGUUUGUAGUGGUCUUCGGGGAGGGAUAGGGAGGGAUAGAUAGAGGCUGUAUUGGGUGCCCUGUAUACACACUAUAGCCCCUUUUCCUGCUGCCCUGUAUACACACUACAGCCCCUGUGUCUGCUGCAGCCACUUCAGCCCCUAUGCACCCUCUACAGCUCCUAUCCCACUGCAUCCAUGAAAACUAAUUUUACUCCCUGCACCCACUAAGCCUCUAAUACUUCCUGCACUCACUACUGCCCUAUUUGACUUUCCCUCUGCAUCCACUACAUCCCCUAUUGUCCCCUGCACCCAUUAUAGCCACUAUUACGCCUUGUACCCACUAAUCCCUUAUUACCCCCUAUAGCCCGUAUCCCUUCCCACUACAGUCUUUACCACCCAAUAUAGCCCCUAUUCCUGGCAUUCUGCACCCGCUACAGACUCUAAUACUCUUUGCACCCACUACAGUCUCUAUCCCGAUGCACCCAAUACAGCCCCUAUGCCCCCUGCUCCCACUACAGUCCCACUUCCUUCCCUGCACCACACUAAACCCUUUAUUCCUUUUGCACCCACAACAGUGUCUAUUGCCUCAUUCACACACUACUGCUUCUAACACUCCACUGCACCCACUACAGCCUCUAUCCAUCCCUUGCACCCACUACAGCCCCACGAUUAUCCCUCACCUACACCCACUAUAUGCUCUAUAACUCCUGCGACCACUAAAUAGGAUUUAAUGGUGGAAAUUAUAAGUGCCCCCCUGUGUAUUGUUCCUAGAGUUGCCACUCCCUUAAACCACAAUCCUCCUCCUUGUGUUUCUCUGGAUACGUCUUAUUCUUUUGUUAUUGUAUAUUUUAUAUUUUAGCUUCAAUUUUUUGUUGUAUCUAAUCUAUGUUUAUCCACAUUUGUCUGUAUGUCUAUCAGUUUGUGGUCUGUAUUAUCUAUAUUUCUCACCGGAUCUGCCUCAGGUUUUUCAUUCCAUCUCAUCACAUCUCUCAAACUUUAUGAUGUUUGUCUCUGGAUCUAUGUAUCAGUUUUGUGUUUCAUCUCAUCUGCAUGUCUCAAAAUAACUGUCUUAGUAUUUUCCUUCCCACACUGUCAACCUGUCAAUUGUCAGCAUAAAUUGACAAUAUAUGAGCAAGCCAUUGAACCGCAAUGCAAAACCCAGGUUUACAAUAUAUAUAUAUAUUAUGAUUUUGGUUGAAACUACCUCCAGAAACUAUAUACAUAUCUUAUGGGGAACUAAAACUAAUUAUUACAUUUUGUUUAGUAGGACAUAUACGUGUUAUGGACACUCUGGGGCAGGCUCAAUACUAUUAAGUACCCAAAUAUUAAACUGAUUUUUUUUUUUUGGGGGGGGGUGGGGCGGGGUUAUCAUACAGAUUCUAAGGGGUUUGUAAUACAACCAUUGGAGGUAACAUCUGGUUAACAGACUUUCGGUAGCACAGCAUUCUGUGAAACUUAUCAUAAUAAGAUAAAACGCAUUAAGUGGAUUCUUCUCUAAUUUGGUUUGAUGUAUAUACUGUGUGAAAUUAAAUGUUACUGUUCCCACAUUAUUUUCCAUCUGCAUGUUGAUAGCCAAAAAUAGAAUACCAUUUCCACCCAUCCUGGGAAGCAAAGAGAUUAAACCACAUAUAAAAGAAGGAAUUUCUGCAGUCUGUAUUGUCUACAAUUUUUUUUUUAUUCCUAUGCUAGAUUAGACGCAUGUAAAUAAAAUGUGUCAAUUAGCAAUAAUUUCUUUGGAAUAAAAUCUUAAAUCAAAACAGCUGUAUUCUUUGUCCUGAUGUCUUUGAGAGUACGCCAUCAAGCCCUUAUGUUCGUAUCAUAUGAAUGUUUAUUGCAUUUUGUAUAGAAAUUCUGGAUUUUCAGCUUGUGCAAAAGUUCCACUAUUUUGUUAUUGGGUGCCUAGGUAAAGUUUACUAAAAAAAAGAAAACCAAAAUACUAAUUAAAAAGUAAUUGCUACAAUUACAUGAUUAAGCAGCCUAUACAGGCGGUCAGACCAGACCCAAUUGUCUCCUUCAUUCCUGCCAAUUACCCCACCCCCCCAGCGCCAAUCAUCCUGCUAGGUCUCAGACCCUUAUAAUAAGCUAUUUCACCUAUCCCCAUGAGUUACCCCACGAUAUUAUCUGCUCUUUAUAUCUCUAACUGGUUUGCUCAUAUUGUAAUCCAUAUUGUAUACUGUGCACCUAUUAUUCACUGUACACCGUAGCUUUAAAUCACAAUCAGCCAAUCACCAAUAGGUUUGGCUAACCGUUUAUAUUGUAAUAAAAAAAUAAAAAAGUGUGCGAUAAUCUAUACACACUUAACUGACCCUUUGUUCACAUAUUGAUUUUGCUGUGUUGUCUCCUCACUAGUAUAUAUGUCUAAGCAGUGCAAAAAAAAUACUAAUAAUAAAAAAGUAAUUAACAGUAAUGAUCAAAUAUUGAAUAAAACUUUCUAUAACACACAGGGUCAAAUAAAAAAAAAUAAAAAAAAUGCUUACCCUUUAAAAAAAUUGUUCCACCGAGGACAAAACUGUGUCAGUCAGGUUUUAGAUAUUAAAAAUGAAAGGAGUUGUAGAGAUUGGUAACAGAAUAUGUAGUAGCAUCACUUUUCAAGUUUUGAAAAACUCCAAAGUUUUAUUUAAAAGACUUUUUAAAGUAAUAUCGUAACUUUCAGUCUAGUGAGAGAAUGAUAGCACAAAACAUGACAAAUCAUGUUACAACUUGAUCAGAAAGAUAUCUAUCGUUUAGGUAGCCUGGUACUAAAAAAAUCUAAAACAUUUAUUCUAUGGGUGUGAUUUUUUUUUAUUUAUUUUUUUAUUUUUAAAAAUACUUUAAACAAGUUCCAAGAGAAUAUUAAAAAAAAGACUGAAUGGUUCAAGAAAAUAAUAAUAGUAAUAAUAAUAAUAAUAAUAAUAAUAAUAAUAAAUAGCUUCACACUUAAGUUCCUCUGUGUAAAUAGAAUAUAGACUACAGCACAUAGAAAGAAAAAGAUUAAAGAAUAUCAAUAUACAUAUACUCAUAUAAACUAGACUCAAUUAGAUGGCAUAAUGUAGCAUGCAAAAAAAGAGAAAAGAGCAAAAUAAUAGUGUAAUUCUGUUUUAAAUGUGGACAAUAUCUUUAUUUAUAUUAUGUGUGUGAGGGUAAGUGAGAAUCCUAUUUUUUCCAGAAUAAAUAUUUUUUAUUUUAUACUAAAGGAACAUUCUAUAUGCACAGACUCUAUCCUCCAGUGACAUUGCUGUUGUCUUCUGAGAACAGGAAGCAAUGCAUUCACUAGUAUUUUAUUAAUUAUAACUGUAUCAUGUCAGUAUUGGAAUAUUCUUUUUUCUAAUAACAGCAAAUAAAUUGCUCCUGGAUUGUAUAAAUAUAAAUAGGCUUCAUUUUACUAAAUUUGUUCAACCCAUUACAAUAUACAGUGUGAUUGAUUUUAGUUUUUGAUGUGAUUGUGACAAGACAGAACACGUCUAUUGAUUUCUACAUUAAACAACAAGAUUAAUGUAUAUAUUUCAAGUAACUACUUUCCUGUCCAUUAUAAAAUCCAUUAGAGACAAUGUUUCAAAUUAUUUCAGUAUGAAAAAAGAGAGCUAAUUUCAUAAUAAUAACAUUUUUUUUUUAAAAGAAUCUCCAGGAAAUAUAAUCUGCAUUUAUUAGAUAGGUAUCAACCAUAAUAACGAGACCUUAACUGGUAAUAUGCCUCAGUCAAUUUUUGUAUUCCUAUCUUAGGCCUCGAUUUAAUAUUUUUGGAUAUACUUUUCAAAUGUUUUUUUUUUUUUUAUUCUUUAUUUGUAUUGUGGCAGCAAAACAGUAAAAUAAACAGUUGCCACAUUUUUAUAAAAUGAGUAUCGUCUCAGUUUCAGUAAUAUAUAAUAAUUAAUUCAAGGUGAAACAUAGAUAAGGAUAGAAAAUUAUAAGUAUGGGUAUGGUAGGGGCGGUGAGUAUGUCCUGGGCUCUGAGGCUUCCCCUCUGUCUGUGUUCCGAACCCCAUGUCUCUACCGUAUUUUAAAAUACAUGUUGUCCGCUGAAGUGGUGUGCUGUGUCUGGGUCUUUCCCUGUCCUGCCCGUCUAUUUCUUCUGCCUUUCCUGAUUGUCCUCUCUCCAUGCGGUAAUUGUUCCCCCUCAGGUCCCCUGUCCGUCCCAUAUUCCGUACUUGUCUGAGUCGCGUGUGGGUGGCUGUUCUGAUUUUAAUCAGUGAGCAUGUUGGGGGUUGUCUCGGUCCGACCCGUGGAGGGGGCCCUGGGCACAAUCCCUCUCCAAUCUGCCCACCCUGUUCCCUAGAUCGCCCGAGUACCUCUGCUGAAUAUGUGGGCACUGUGUGUGCCCUAGUCGUCAAAGGGUGCUUUGCUCUCGUCUAAUGGUAGUCCUGCCCCUCCCCCUUGGGUCUGCCCUGUAACACCCUAUCCCUCUGCCCAUUGUACCGUGUUGGUCCCUCAUUCUUCCAUGCAGUCCCUGCUAUACAUAUGAGGGCCCUUUGCGGGAGUCAGUGGGAGAAGUGUAGCCGAUGAGCCUAAUUCUGCCCAUCAGGGGCGGUCUGCUUGCAUAUGGAGUAGGAGGUUAAGUAAAACAAGCAAAGAGAGGAAAAAGCAAUAAAUAUCCACAAACAUGAAAUAAUUUGAAACGCAUAUCUAAAAUAUUAAAUCAUGGCCUUAGUUAGGAAGGUUAGGCAGGUUAGGCAGGUAAAUUCUGCAAGUUAAUAUUCCCUACUAGACAUUUUACCAGUCUACCUAAAUGAGUAAUGCAACAUAAACCCACAUAAAAAGAACAAAAAUUAUACAUUCAUUAUGGUAAAUAGUUUUCCACAGCUUCGGAAAGACACAUAUUCCUUAACUGCUCUAGUCUGUCUGUGGAAGCUUAAUUAGUUUGGUUGCUGGCCAAGUUAAAAUAAUCUACAGUGAUUUGUCCUUAAACCUCUGGCAAUAAAGACAUUUCUGUGAUUACAGAUUGUUCUGCCAAUUAAUCUUUUUAUUUUAAUUAAAAUUGUUAUUUGUGUUACUUACAAAUGUAAAUGUCAUUAAUUAUUUUUGCAAACAUAGCACUCAUUUAAAGAAGGAAUUUAAACUUGUGCUAAUUGUAAAUGUAUUAUUUCCGAUAUAGUGCAGUAUUUUAAAUUUUAAAAUAAAAAAACUGCCUCUAUACCUUAUUUAUAAGUGAGUGCAGCCUUCUUGGUUUCAUAUGGUUUCAUAUGGUUUUAUAUAUAUAUAUAUAUAUAUAUAUAUAUAUAUAUAUAUAUAUAUAUAUAUAUAUAUAUAUAUAUAUAUAUAUAUAUAUAAAUAAAGAGAAUAAAUGAAGAGAGAGCACUCAGUGGAUUUUCUCAAAUAUGUAUUUGUGAAAAAAAUUAGAUGAUCAAUGUUUCAACCCAGAAGGUCUUUAUAUAUAUAUUUAGGAGUCCUUUGGUUUGCACCCCUCCCAGUCACAGGUGCCUCAUUCCAGGGCCCUACAUAACCUUCCACUGCAGAGAGUCCUCCCAGGACAUGCAUUUUCUAAGUCCAUGGAUUAAUCUCAUAAGAACAGGCAUUAGGUUGAUAGGAUAGGACCUGCCAAAAUUUAGGGAAAUUAGCAUUAUGGCAGUUAUGGCAGUUAUGGCCACUCUCACAUCCAUGUGCACGUUCCUGUAGCUCCAGCCCACUGGAAUACUGGUGUACUGCCUUGGAAAAAAAUGGAAAGUCUCUACUUGGGAAAGAAGGGAGAGGUUGCAAAGAAUGCAGACAGUAGGUCUGAAGCUUUUGCAAGCUGUUUCUUUUAUAUACCUCCAAAGAAAACAUGCAGUAAAAAAAAUGCAUGCUUGUUUUCUUUGGGGGUAUUUGUACAAAAUUGCUUAGAAAAUAAAUAAAUCAUGUUACAAUUAAUUUUUUCUUUAAGAAAUAAUACAUUUUGUUUCAUUCAUUCAUUCAUUUUUUUUUAUUUAUUGUGUAUUAAAAAUAUGAUGGAUGAAUGUGUGACCAUGAAUUACAAUUUAUUGAAAAGACUGACUAUCACCAUCCCAAUGCCUUGCCUUGUGCAAUUAUUUUUAUAAACAAUCAUCUUUGUAUAUCACACCAACCUAAUUUUAUAUGUUUUUAAUAUAAUAUAAUGUAUUUUUUUAAUAUAAUGUAUUACACAUCAUUAAAUCUAGGAGUAAGCUACACUGAAAAAAGUAAUUAUUUCACUUUUUUGUUCUUUUCCUGAUUUUAUAUUUUUACAUUUAUUAUUAACACUUACAAGUGAGUUCAGCUAAUUGUGCAUUCAGUGUUUAAAAAGUUACAAGAGAAUUCAUGUUUUUUUUUAGUACAUACUGAUUGAGUUUGAUUAAUGUAUGUUUUAUCAUUGUCUUGUUUCUGUCUGCUUCUUUUUAUCUUUGUCUUUCAACUCUUCAUGUCCAUCCUUUUAUUUGAUUGUUUGUUUUAGAAAACACAGGAUAAUGUACAGAAUAAAGGAAGCAUACCAACACAGGAACAGGCUGAGUAAAUAUCACCCAAAUCGUCUGGUUCAAAUUACAGGCCAUCAUGGGCAAUUGUGACAGGGAAUUAACACCGCCAAUCCUAGCGUCAGAACAAAG